This 254-nucleotide ribosomal RNA is filed under the name uncultured bacterium. Its description in RNAcentral is "partial 16S ribosomal RNA". It matches the Rfam family "Bacterial small subunit ribosomal RNA", at positions 524 to 776 of the family's 1533-position model. The record is from RNAcentral.
GACGUAGGAGGCGAGCGUUGUCCGGAGUUACUGGGCGUAAAGCGCGCGCAGGCGGCCCUGUGCGCUGCCCGGUGAAAGCUCCCGGCUUACCUGGGAGAGGUUCGGCAGGACGGCAGGGCUGGAGGGUGGGAGAGGUCGGUGGAAUUCCUGGUGUAGCGGUGGAAUGCGCAGAUAUCAGGAGGAACACCAAUGGCGAAGGCAGAUCUCUGGGCCGUAACUGACGCUGAGGAGCGAAAGCAUGGGGAGCGAACAGG